RNAcentral lists this long non-coding RNA (584 nucleotides) under Penaeus chinensis. RNAcentral describes it as "uncharacterized LOC125034492". Lineage: Eukaryota; Metazoa; Arthropoda; Malacostraca; Decapoda; Penaeidae. The record is from RNAcentral.
CGCAAAUUCAUCCAGUCAAGACACACAGCAUGGAAAACCGUCUUUGCAAAACCAGUUCUCGUGGUUGUGAUGGGCGCAACCAACGCCUUCUCUGCCCCAGGGAGGCAUGGGUCCGCCCUCCGACCUGCUAUGGGGGCGGAGGAACGGUCCCUUGCUCGAAUUAAGAGGACUAUGGAUGAUCAUGACCACAAUGAAUGACGUUCGAGAGCAUAAAGUGGAAUCCUUGUUGAUGGCAACAACGAAACCAUUGUUCAUGACACUACGGGACAACAUGGCAAUAAAGACCAUCGCCAUGAUCAGGGCCAUCAUUACAACUAUGUGCACGAGGAGGAAGCCCAUGGUCAUGGCAGCAACGAGACACAAGUUCAUGGCACUGUAGGACAUCAUGGCAAUAAAGACCAACAUCAUGAUAAGGAUCAGAAUGACUCCUACGUGCACGAGGGGAGGCCCAUGGUCACACCAGCUACAAAACCCAUGUUCAUGACACGAUAUGUGAUCAUGACGGUCAUGAUCACCGUAUUAAUGUUGGCAUGACAAUGUCAGUGUUAUAAUCCUUAUUGUGAUAAAUAAAGUUGAUGAAUCCA